Molecule: ribosomal RNA, 496 nt
Filed under: uncultured bacterium
Lineage: Bacteria
Description: partial 16S ribosomal RNA
Rfam family: Bacterial small subunit ribosomal RNA
Source: RNAcentral
AUGAACGCUGGCGGCGUGCCUAAUACCUGCAAGUCGCGCGCACAGACGAGGAGCUUGCUCCUCUGACGUUAGCGGCGGACGGGUGAGUAACACGUGGAUAACCUACCUAUAAGACUGGGAUAACUUCGGGAAACCGGAGCUAAUACCGGAUAAUAUAUUGAACCGCAUGGUUCAAUAGUGAAAGACGGUUUUGCUGUCACUUAUAGAUGGAUCCGCGCCGCAUUAGCUAGUUGGUAAGGUAACGGCUUACCAAGGCGACGAUGCGUAGCCGACCUGAGAGGGUGAUCGGCCACACUGGAACUGAGACACGGUCCAGACUCCUACGGGAGGCAGCAGUAGGGAAUCUUCCGCAAUGGGCGAAAGCCUGACGGAGCAACGCCGCGUGAGUGAUGAAGGUCUUCGGAUCGUAAAACUCUGUUAUUAGGGAAGAACAAAUGUGUAAGUAACUAUGCACGUCUUGACGGUACCUAAUCAGAAAGCCACGGCUAACUACGUG